Musa acuminata AAA Group (dessert banana) is the source of this 2414-nucleotide long non-coding RNA. RefSeq lists it as uncharacterized. The record is from RefSeq and is a predicted model, not a curated record. The transcript is spliced from 4 exons. NCBI's taxonomy places the organism in Eukaryota, Viridiplantae, Streptophyta, Magnoliopsida, Zingiberales, Musaceae.
UCCAUGACCGGAAGUGAAACGAAAGGAAACGCGUGGCGAUACGAAGGAAAGAGAGUUUAUUAGGGUUCGCGUUCUUCUCUCCUCCGCUUUCUCCACCUCUCUUCUCCUCGUUGCGAUCUAGUCGCGAGGAACCGGGAGGGGAUCUCUCAAUAAGCUAGUCGCCUGGUCUCUCGCCCUUCAGAAAAAUCGGCAGGUGGCAGCAGCUUCACGGGUACCAGGUCUAUACCCCUAGGCGUUUCAUCCUGCCGCUCCCCUUUUAUUGGCCUUCUCCUAAUUUCAAGAUCGGAAGCUUUAAAUGCUUGGGAACCUGGCCUAGAGCAGGGCGCUGAAUUGAUGAGCGAGCAUGGGAUAAAUGUGCCAAAGGGAAUCGCUGCUUCAUCUGUUGAAGAGGCUAAAGAUGUUGCUCGAUCUGUUUUCCCAACGAGAAAGAGAGAUUGUGGUCAAAAGCCAAAUCCUUGCUGGUGGCAGAGGCUUGGGAGCCUUCAAAAGUGGACUCAAGGGUGGAGAAGGUUGCCGCUGCCAACGCCGAUCUGAGUUAUAUUGGUCUUGAUGGAGAAAUCGGGUGCAUGGUCAAUGGUGGAUUGGCAAUGACUAUGAUGGAUAUAAUACGACCGCAAGGUGGUACACCUGCUAAUUUACUUGAUGUUGGUGGCGAUGCAUCGGAAAGCCAGGUUGUACACGUUUCAUAUUCUAACAUCCAAUGACAAAGUGGAGGCAAUUUUGGUCAACAUAUUUGGAGGGAUUAGAAAUGCAAUUUGAUAGCAAGUGGAAUUGUCAAUGCACCCAAACAGGUACUAAUCUGGCUUCUGACUGACAUCGUUGUCUUUCAACUUCCAUUAACAUAAUCUUUUAUAGCUUUAAGUGCUUUAUAUGGACUCUAUUUCCUUAUUAGUUUCACUCCUUAAAUGUACAAUUUCUUUGGACAUCAUUUGUUUUCAGAAAACUUCUCUGUUACAUGCUAAAAUCUUCAUUAUGCUAAAAUCUUCAUUACGCUCCAAAGUCAUCUGAUUGGAUCCUCCAAUAGAUAUUCAUCUAGAACAUGAAUCAACUCAGGUUAGAGCUUGACUGGACCCCUUUUUUUUUUUUGCUUUAUAUGGUAAUAGCAUAAUUCUUUACAAAGUUUUAGAAACAUUGUGAAUAAAUAAAUUCAUUGUCACACAAUUUUAUGAUUUUGGGGAUAUGAUUAAUAUAUGUCUGGUCGAGGGAUGGUUAACCCUGGGUGCAACAUUAAGCUCAUUUCUUUUACACUAGAUGAACUUAUAGGUGAAUAACUAGAAUUACUCAUCUUGGUUAUACUGGUGUUAGAUUAGCAUUACUUACUAAUAUGUUAUUCAUUGUGAAGUGAAUAAUGGUUAAAAUUGUCAAAAAAAUAAGGGAUAAAUCAUGUGAUGCCCUUAUCAUUAGCAUUCAUAAAUGAAGGAAUUUAUGCAGAGAACAAUUUCAAUGAAGAGGAAAUAUAAAGUGAUGCCCUUAAGAUUUUUGACAAGAUUCCAAGGGCAAUCAAUUUCUUUUCUAUGACAAGAUAACAAAGAUUUGUGAUGAAGUUGUAUAGAUCAUUUAAUGACAGGCGGUAUAUGCGACCAAGGGAUACCAUCUUAGUUUUAGUGAGAUGGGUUAUGAGAAUAGAAGUAAUAUCACUAGGAUUUUUGUUCUUGGUGGUGACUGAAUCAAGUAUGACAUAAUACUCCAAAACUGAGACAGUUAAGAUGGAUACGCUGUAACAUUUUCUAAUAAAUAUAGCUGAGGAGCUUAGGACCUACAACAGAUGAAGAGAGGCUGAAAAGUAUAUUGGAUAGUAGAGAUACGUGAUUUUGUCUUCCAAUGAGCAGAGUUAUUUGAAAGAGUUUUGAAGGAUGUACCUAAAAUGCUGAAACAGUUUUGGAGGAUGAACAAAGAUGAGGCAAAGAUCUAUAUAAACAAGGGGAAAGACCAUGAGAAGCAAAACAUGUAAUGACAACAGAGGUUAUUGUUGAUAAGGCCAUCUCGAGUAAAGAUUACUGAGUUCAAACCAGAAGUAUGCACAAUGUGUAGCCUUAUAUUUUCAUUGUGUUUUUUCCUCUAUCUCAUUCCUCAAGUUUGACAAUGAGAGGAUUGAGAAAAGGAUUUCAUAAUGAGAGAUUAAAUUUUUAUUUUUUAUCUAUUUUUUUAAAAAAAUUUGAUAUAUAUAUAUAUAUAUAUAUAUAUGGUUCCGGACUGUCAGGCAACGAUUAUGGGCCUUCAGCGUUGUCGUAAGGCCUAGGCCAACGUAGCUAUCGUCCGUCGCCGUGUAGACUGCGUGCACCGACUGUCACUGUGCAGCGUUGUCGAAAGGCCAACGGCAACAUAGCUAUCGUCGUUUCGGCAUUUAAAGAUGCAUCUGUGCUUACGCAAGACGACACACGGCGGUCCUGUUAAGAGCUGUCGGGGCAUUUAAG